GCCCAAUGAUGAGACCAAGGCGAAUAAGAGCUUUCUGGAUUGGAGUUUGGGUUCUUCUGGUUUUUACUGACAGGUAAUCUUGGUAGUGUAGGGGAGGAUUCCUGCUCUGCUGUAAGGGCCUGUCUACAGUCAUUUGGCUCACACCCAAAUUAAUCCCCUAAAGUUAUAGUGGACUAAUCAGGGUACCGAAGCCAACAGAGUGGUCGUAUGGACAGUGGAAAAGCUACGAAGUUCACCCAGCUCUUUAUACUUCAGUCUGCAAUGAUUUGCUUCUUUGGUAAUCUGAGGGCC
Takifugu rubripes (torafugu) is the source of this 291-nucleotide small nucleolar RNA. The record is from Ensembl. NCBI's taxonomy places the organism in Eukaryota, Metazoa, Chordata, Actinopteri, Tetraodontiformes, Tetraodontidae.